Molecule: long non-coding RNA, 305 nt
Organism: Hypanus sabinus (Atlantic stingray)
Lineage: Eukaryota; Metazoa; Chordata; Chondrichthyes; Myliobatiformes; Dasyatidae
Exons: 3
Source: RefSeq, a predicted model, not a curated record
CGCCAUCUCAAGCCGUCACAUGAUCGGUCCCUCGUGUCACCUGACUCUUCUUAAAGGGGCCUAGCCCUCAGUUCGGAACCUCUAAUUAACCGAACUUUCCGCAGAUUUCAGCACAGUGUACAGAAGUUCAAAGGUGGAUGAUGUAAAGUCCUGAACGUACAUCGAGCCUUCCAGAGUUUGGCCAUUGCUCUUGGGUGUUGACGGACAUCUUUGGAUGUCUUCUUUUGUGCGUUGAAGAGUUCAGCAAGGUGGUCCCGCAGGCGUAAUUCCAUUUCAAGUCCACCCAGAUUUCGGUUAAAACUAAG